RNAcentral lists this ribosomal RNA (245 nucleotides) under uncultured bacterium. Its description in RNAcentral is "partial 16S ribosomal RNA". It matches the Rfam family "Bacterial small subunit ribosomal RNA", at positions 109 to 354 of the family's 1533-position model. The record is from RNAcentral.
AGUAACGCGUGGGCAACCUGCCUUACACAGGGGGAUAACACUUAGAAAUAGGUGCUAAUACCGCAUAAGCGCACAGCUUUGCAUGAAGCAGUGUGAAAAACUCCGGUGGUGUAAGAUGGACCCGCGUCUGAUUAGCUGGUUGGCAGGGUAAAGGCCUACCAAGGCGACGAUCAGUAGCCGGCCUGAGAGGGUGAACGGCCACAUUGGGACUGAGACACGGCCCAGACUCCUACGGGAGGCAGCAG